This is a long non-coding RNA of Dermacentor andersoni, 344 nucleotides long. RefSeq lists it as uncharacterized. The record is from RefSeq and is a predicted model, not a curated record. Lineage: Eukaryota; Metazoa; Arthropoda; Arachnida; Ixodida; Ixodidae.
UUUGAGUAAAAGCAUAUUGUUCGCUUCUACUGUUUCAGAGACGAACCAGAUCGUCUACGUAGGUAAAGAAGUUGGAGAUCAGAAAAAAAAGCGAUAACAAAAAACGAGAUGGCCACUGCGAAGAAACUGGUAGCGUAUCUCAUCAUUUCUGCCUUGUUGGCACUAAGUCCUGCUGUGGAUGCAUCUUCGCAAAACUUAUGGUAUAGGAGCCACUGCUGGAGACAUGACUGCUACAGAGGGGUCGAAUGUCCUCCCCCUUGCCAGUGCCCUGGAAUCGUUCAGCGCAUGUUUGGACACUACACUUGUCAUUGAUGGAGAUCCCAAAUGUAAAUUUUAAGGGGUGA